This 447-nucleotide ribosomal RNA is filed under the name uncultured bacterium. RNAcentral describes it as "bacterial SSU rRNA". It matches the Rfam family "Bacterial small subunit ribosomal RNA", at positions 329 to 793 of the family's 1533-position model. The record is from RNAcentral.
UGCCAGACUCCUACGGGAGGCAGCAGUGGGGAAUAUUGCACAAUGGGGGGAACCCUGAUGCAGCGACGCCGCGUGAAGGAAGAAGUAUCUCGGUAUGUAAACUUCUAUCAGCAGGGAAGAAAGAGGACGGUACCUGACUAAGAAGCCCCGGCUAACUACGUGCCAGCAGCCGCGGUAAUACGGAGGAUGCGAGCGUUAUCCGGAUUUAUUGGGUUUAAAGGGUGCGCAGGCGGAAGAUCAAGUCAGCGGUAAAAUUGAGAGGCUCAACCUCUUCGAGCCGUUGAAACUGGUCUUCUUGAGUGAGCGAGAAGUAUGCGGAAUGCGUGGUGUAGCGGUGAAAUGCAUAGAUAUCGCGCAGAACCCCGAUUGCGAAGGCAGCGUACCGGCUCCACACUGACGCUGAGGCACGAAAGCGUGGGUAUCGAACAGGAUUAGAUACCCCGGUAG